GAGUUUGAUCAUGGCUCAGAACGUACGCUGGCGGCACGCCUAACACAUGCAAGUCGAACGAAGUAGCAAUACUUAGUGGCAGACGGGUGAGUAACAUGUAGGUAUCUGCCCUUUGGCCUGGAAUAACACGAGGAAACUUGUGCUAAUACCGGAUAAGUCUUUACGGAGAAAGCUUUAUGCACCAUUGGAUGAGCCUGCACUUGAUUAGUUUGUUGGUGGGGUAAUGGCCUACCAAGACUGUGAUCAAUAGCUGAUUUGAGAGGAUGAUCAGCCACAUUGGGACUGAGACACGGCCCAAACUCCUACGGGAGGCAGCAGUGGGGAAUCUUGCACAAUGGAGGAAACUCUGAUGCAGCGAUGCCGCGUGAGUGAAGAAGGCCCUUGGGUUGUAAAGCUCUUUCGUCGGGGAAGAAAAUGACUGUACCCGAAUAAGAAGGUCCGGCUAACUUCGUGCCAGCAGCCGCGGUAAUACGAAGGGACCUAGCGUAGUUCGGAAUUACUGGGCUUAAAGAGUUCGUAGGUGGUUGAAAAAGUUAGUGGUGAAAUCCCAGAGCUUAACUCUGGAACUGCCAUUAAAACUUUUCAGCUAGAGUAUGAUAGAGGAAAGCAGAAUUUCUAGUGUAGAGGUGAAAUUCGUAGAUAUUAGAAAGAAUACCAAUUGCGAAGGCAGCUUUCUGGAUCAUUACUGACACUGAGGAACGAAAGCAUGGGUAGCGAAGAGGAUUAGAUACCCUCGUAGUCCAUGCCGUAAACGAUGUGUGUUAGACGUUGGAAAUUUAUUUUCAGUGUCGCAGGGAAACCGAUAAACACACCGCCUGGGGAGUACGACCGCAAGGUUAAAACUCAAAUGAAUUGACGGGGACCCGCACAAGUAGUGGAGCAUGUGGUUUAAUUCGAAGAUACGCGCAGAACCUUACCAACACUUGACAUGUUCGUCGCGACUCUAAGAGAUUAGAGUUUUCGGUUCGGCCGGACGAAACACAGGUGCUGCAUGGCUGUCGUCAGCUCGUGUCGUGAGAUGUUGGGUUAAGUCCCGCAACGAGCGCAACCCUCACUUUUAGUUGCCAUCAUUAAGUUGGGCACUCUGAAAGAACUGCCAGUGAUAAGCUGGAGGAAGGUGGGGAUGACGUCAAGUCCUCAUGGCCCUUACGUGUUGGGCUACACACGUGCUACAAUGGCAUCUACAACAGGAAGCAAAACGGCAACGUUAAGCAAAUCCCGAAAAGAUGCCUCAGUUCGGAUUGCACUCUGCAACUCGAGUGCAUGAAGCUGGAAUUACUAGUAAUCGUGGAUCAGCGUGCCACGGUGAAUGCGUUCCCGGGUCUUGUACACACCGCCCGUCACACCAUGGGAGUUGGUUCUACCUUAAGGCAAGGUUUUAAACCCUUGACCACGGUAUAGUCAGCGACUGGGGUGAAGUCGUAACAAGGUAACC
RNAcentral lists this ribosomal RNA (1435 nucleotides) under uncultured marine bacterium. RNAcentral describes it as "bacterial SSU rRNA". It matches the Rfam family "Bacterial small subunit ribosomal RNA". The record is from RNAcentral.